This is a transfer RNA of Nadsonia fulvescens var. elongata DSM 6958, 93 nucleotides long. It matches the Rfam family "tRNA". From Rfam's summary of the family: Transfer RNA (tRNA) molecules are approximately 80 nucleotides in length. The record is from Rfam. Lineage: Eukaryota; Fungi; Ascomycota; Dipodascomycetes; Dipodascales.
GCGGUUUUAGCUCAGUUGGGAGAGCGUCAGACUGAAGUUAAAACUUCAGUCCAGUUAAUCUGAAGGUCCAGUGUUCGAUCCACUGAAACCGCA